Molecule: ribosomal RNA, 492 nt
Filed under: uncultured bacterium
Lineage: Bacteria
Description: partial 16S ribosomal RNA
Rfam family: Bacterial small subunit ribosomal RNA
Source: RNAcentral
AGUGAACGCUGGCGGUAGGCCUAACACAUGCAAGUCGAACGGCAGCACAGUAAGAGCUUGCUCUUACGGGUGGCGAGUGGCGGACGGGUGAGGAAUACAUCGGAAUCUACUUUUUCGUGGGGGAUAACGUAGGGAAACUUACGCUGAUACCGCAUACGACCUACGGGUGAAAGCAGGGGAUCUUCGGACCUUGCGCGAUUGAAUGAGCCGAUGUCGGAUUAGCUAGUUGGCGGGGUAAAGGCCCACCAAGGCGACGAUCCGUAGCUGGUGUGAGAGGAUGGUAGGCCACACUAGAACUGAGACGCGGUCCAUACUCCUACGGGAGGCAGCAGUGGGGAAUAUUGGACAAUGGGCGCAAGCCUGAUCCAGCCAUACCGCGUGUGUGAAGAAGGCCUUCGGGUUGUAAAGCCCUUUUGUUGGGAAAGAAAAGCAGCAGGUUAAUACCCCGCUGUUCUGACGGUACCCAAAGAAUAAGCACCGGCUAACUUCGUG